CGGCCUUGACCUGCGGGACGGCACCGGCGUUCCGGCCGCCCGGGACGACGGUUCCGGCGAAGGACCGUACGAAGCGGUCCGGGCCGU
RNAcentral lists this transfer RNA (87 nucleotides) under Streptomyces brasiliensis. RNAcentral's name for it is "tRNA-Arg". Lineage: Bacteria; Bacillati; Actinomycetota; Actinomycetes; Kitasatosporales; Streptomycetaceae. The record is from RNAcentral.